This 253-nucleotide ribosomal RNA is filed under the name uncultured bacterium. RNAcentral's name for it is "partial 16S ribosomal RNA". It matches the Rfam family "Bacterial small subunit ribosomal RNA", at positions 524 to 776 of the family's 1533-position model. The record is from RNAcentral.
GACGUAGGGGGCCAGCGUUGUUCGGAAUUACUGGGUGUAAAGGGUUCGUAGGCGGUGCGGCAAGUUGGGAGUGAAAUCUUGGAGCUUAACUCCGAAACUGCAUUCGAUACUGCCGUGCUUGAGGACUGGAGAGGAGACUGGAAUUUACGGUGUAGCGGUGAAAUGCGUAGAUAUCGUAAGGAAGACCAGUGGCGAAGGCGGGUCUCUGGACAGUUCCUGACGCUGAGGCACGAAGGCCAGGGGAGCAAACGGG